RNAcentral lists this ribosomal RNA (492 nucleotides) under uncultured bacterium. RNAcentral describes it as "partial 16S ribosomal RNA". It matches the Rfam family "Bacterial small subunit ribosomal RNA", at positions 29 to 507 of the family's 1533-position model. The record is from RNAcentral.
AGUGAACGCUGGCGGUAGGCCUAACACAUGCAAGUCGAACGGCAGCACAGUAAGAGCUUGCUCUUACGGGUGGCGAGUGGCGGACGGGUGAGGAAUACAUCGGAAUCUACUUUUUCGUGGGGGAUAACGUAGGGAAACUUACGCUAAUACCGCAUACGACCUACGGGUGAAAGCAGGGGAUCUUCGGACCUUGCGCGAUUGAAUGAGCCGAUGUCGGAUUAGCUAGUUGGCGGGGUAAAGGCCCACCAAGGCGACGAUCCGUAGCUGGUCAGAGAGGAUGAUCAGCCACACUGGAACCGAGACACGGUCCAGACUCCUACGGGAGGCAGCAGUGGGGAAUAUUGGACAAUGGGCGCAAGCCUGAUCCAGCCAUACCGCGUGGGUGAAGAAGGCCUUCGGGUUGUAAAGCCCUUUUGUUGGGAAAGAAAAGCAGCAGGUUAAUACCCCGCUGUUCUGACGGUACCCAAAGAAUAAGCACCGGCUAACUUCGUG